GCAUAUCAAUAAGCGGAGGAAAAGAAACCAACAGGGAUUGCCUUAGUAACGGCGAGUGAAGCGGCAAUAGCUCAAAUUUGAAAUCUGGCUUCGGCCCGAGUUGUAAUUUGUAGAGGAUGCUUCGGCUUACGCACCGGUCUAAGUUCCUUGGAACAGGACGUCACAGAGGGUGAGAAUCCCGUUUGUGGCCGGUGCUUCCGCCAUGUGAAGCUCCUUCGACGAGUCGAGUUGUUUGGGAAUGCAGCUCUAAAUGGGAGGUAAAUUUCUUCUAAAGCUAAAUACCGGCCAGAGACCGAUAGCGCACAAGUAGAGUGAUCGAAAGAUGAAAAGCACUUUGGAAAGAGAGUUAAAAAGUACGUGAAAUUGUUGAAAGGGAAGCGCUUGCGACCAGACUUGCCCGCGGAUGCUCAACCGGUCCUUCGGCCGGUGCACUCUUCCGCGGUCAGGCCAGCAUCAGUUCGGGCGGUCGGAUAAAGGCCUUGGGAAUGUGGCUCUCUUCGGGGAGUGUUAUAGCCCUUGGUGUAAUACGGCCUGCCUGGACUGAGGCCCGCGCUUCUGCUAGGAUGCUGGCGUAAUGGUCGUAAGCGGCCCGUCUUGAAACACGGACCAAGGAGUCUAACAUCUAUGGCGAGUGUUUGGGUGUCAAACCCCGUGCGCGAAAUGAAAGUGAACGGAGGUGGGAACCUUAGGGUGCACCAUCGACCGAUCCUGAUGUCUUCCGGAUGGAUUUGAGUAAGAGCAUAGCUGUUGGGACCCCGAAAGAUGGUGAACUAUGCCUGAAUAGGGUGAAGCCAGAGGAAACUCUGGUGGGAGGCUCGCAGCGGUUCUGACGUGCAAAUCGAUCGUCAAAUUUGGGUAUAGGGGCGAAAGACUAAUCGAAACCAUCUAGUAGCUGGUCCUGGCGA
RNAcentral lists this ribosomal RNA (905 nucleotides) under Neohelicosporium griseum. RNAcentral's name for it is "LSU rRNA". It matches the Rfam family "Eukaryotic large subunit ribosomal RNA", at positions 38 to 964 of the family's 3401-position model. Lineage: Eukaryota; Fungi; Ascomycota; Dothideomycetes; Tubeufiales; Tubeufiaceae. The record is from RNAcentral.